This 277-nucleotide long non-coding RNA is filed under the name Trifolium pratense (red clover). RNAcentral describes it as "long non-coding RNA (TPRA_LNC000460)". The record is from RNAcentral. Lineage: Eukaryota; Viridiplantae; Streptophyta; Magnoliopsida; Fabales; Fabaceae.
AUCUAAUCCUUCAACCUGAAACAAAUGAACACCGCACAAAGACGGGAAAACAAAAUACACCGCACAAGGACGGGAUAACAAAUAACACAAAACCAAACAAAUAUGUGAAAAAUCACACUUAUUUAAUAACGAGAAAGAAAAAACAAUUUGGAGGGGUGAUUUUAGGUCAAAAUUUGACCUGAAAUCACCCCUCUUUGAUAAACCAAGAAGAAGAAAAAAGGUGACGGCUAGGGUUAAAAUUUAGGAGAUGAGAGAAAAAGAGAUGCAAAACGACAUC